Molecule: ribosomal RNA, 492 nt
Filed under: uncultured bacterium
Lineage: Bacteria
Description: partial 16S ribosomal RNA
Rfam family: Bacterial small subunit ribosomal RNA
Source: RNAcentral
AGUGAACGCUGGCGGCAGGCCUAAUACAUGCAAGUCGAACGGAAGGACAGUGAGCGUUUGCCUUUGACGUUGGCGGGUGGCGGGUGGGUGAGGCGUGCAUAGGAUACCUCUUUUUCGGGGGGGAUUACGGAGGACCAGAUCUGCUAACACAGAACAUGUUCUACGGGUGAAUGCAAUGGUUCAUGGCAGCUUGCGUGUCUGUAUUAGCUGGUGCCGUAUUAGCUAGUUGGUUGGGUAAGGGCCCACCAAGGCGACGAUCCGUAGCUGAUCUGAGAGGAUGAUCGGCCACACUGGAACUGAGACACGGUCCAGACUCCUACGGGAGGCAGCAGUAGGGAAUAUUGAGCAAUGGGCGCAAGCCUGACGCAGCCAUGCCGCGUGAGUGAUGAAGGUCUUCGGAUUGUAAAGCCCUUUUAUUGGGGAAGAAAAGCAGCAUGUUAAUACCCCGCUAUUCUGACGGUACCCGAUGAGUAAGCACCGGCUAACUUCGUG